This 1411-nucleotide long non-coding RNA is filed under the name Taeniopygia guttata (zebra finch). Its description in RNAcentral is "lncRNA (ENSTGUG00000026192.1)". The record is from RNAcentral. Lineage: Eukaryota; Metazoa; Chordata; Aves; Passeriformes; Estrildidae.
CGCCGGAAUUUGUAAUUGUUUCGUCGUGAGUUUUCAUUGUGGUUCCCCAGUGAAAGUGCAGCCAGAACAGAGCCCCUGCAGAGGCUUGUACAAUUCUGCUGGAGCGAGUCCAGAAGAGGCCACAAAAUUGAUAAGAGAACUGGGGCACCUCCCCUACAGAGACAGGCUGGGAAAAUUGGGGUGUUUAUCCUGGAGGAGAGAAGGUUGUGUGGAGACCUCAAAACACCUUUCAGAACCUGAAGAGACUUGCAAGGAAGCUGGAGACAAACUCUUCAUCAGGAACUGGAGUGACAGGACAAGGAGGAAUGGGUACAAACUGGAAAAGGGGAAAUUUAGGUUAGACAUUAUGAAGAAAUUUUUCACUUUGAGCGUGGUGAGGCCCUGGCACAGGUGCCCAGAGCAGCUGUGGCUGCCCCUGGAUCCCUGGCAGUGCCCAAGGCCAGGUUGGACACUGGGGCUGGAGCAGCCUGGGACAGUGGAAGGUGUCCCUGCCAUGGCAGGGGGGUGGAAUGGGAUGAUCUUCCAACCCUUAAUGUUUAAGGAUUCUAUAACUUUGUCAUUCUUACAAACAGAUGAUUUGAGAAAAUUUUUAAUGCAGUCCUCCAAGAUUCUGUGAUUCAAAAAGACAAUCUGGCUGUAUUUCAUGAUCGAGCCUGAUUGACCUGAUGUUAUUAAAGUUGCCCUAUAUUCCUGUAAAUCAGAUUUUUCUUGAUCUUAAUGAAAUCUUGGGAAGGAAUUAAUUCUGUAGAAUUAUUGGGGGUUUAAGUUGUCUUUAAGUAGGUUAAUUUUGUCAAAUGUACCAUUCCCGAUUAUUUGAAUGUAUUCUGGUUCUUCAAGAUUAGCUUGUUUAUGAAUGUAUUUUCCAACAUUUCUAAUUUUAGAUGCUUUGAUGGGGGGCUUAGUUUGAUAUAUUUUUCAUCUUUAUGUGUGCUUGCAGCUGUUAUUACCAGGUGCAUGUUUGUUAAGUAUAUGGUUUGUUCUCCAUUUGGAGUAUCCAGUAACUGCUCAGAUUAACUUUGGAUCAUACUUGCCAACAAGCUUUAUCACUGGAAUUUUGUUAAAAACUGAACCCUUGCAAGAUGUAGAAUGUAAAGAAACUUUAAAGAAAAAAAUGGUAAAGAAAAUAAAGAAAUAAAGGAUGAUUAUACAUGAACAUUGUGAGCAAAUUAACAUGUAAAAGCUAAAACACUUGCAUUGGUUUAAAGUAUGAGAAUUACUGGUUUUCAUAGUGUAAAUAUUGCAUGAAAGGGCCAAGUUGUGUACUUUGAAUAGUUCAGUGGUUUUGACACGAAUAUUUUCAAUAUAAAAAUAGUUGGAAUAAAUUAAUAUCCUGGAGCUAAUUGUCUUUUUUUUAGAUCUGUAGUUUCAGCUCUUUUACAUGUAGAGACCCUAAAAUUUUCUUUAAUGAAGA